This 75-nucleotide transfer RNA is filed under the name Anaerotruncus colihominis. RNAcentral's name for it is "tRNA-Glu". It matches the Rfam family "tRNA". From Rfam's summary of the family: Transfer RNA (tRNA) molecules are approximately 80 nucleotides in length. Their secondary structure includes four short double-helical elements and three loops (D, anti-codon, and T loops). Further hydrogen bonds mediate the characteristic L-shaped molecular structure. tRNAs have two regions of fundamental functional importance: the anti-codon, which is responsible for specific mRNA codon recognition, and the 3' end, to which the tRNAs corresponding amino acid is attached (by aminoacyl-tRNA synthetases). tRNAs cope with the degeneracy of the genetic code in two manners: having more than one tRNA (with a specific anti-codon) for a particular amino acid; and 'wobble' base-pairing, i.e. permitting non-standard base-pairing at the 3rd anti-codon position. RNAcentral also lists the same sequence under 9 other names. The record is from RNAcentral. Lineage: Bacteria; Bacillati; Bacillota; Clostridia; Eubacteriales; Oscillospiraceae.
GGCCCGUUGGUCAAGCGGUUAAGACACCGGCCUCUCACGCCGGUAACGCGGGUUCGAUUCCCGCACGGGUCACCA